CCUACGGGUCGCACCAGUAGGGAAUCUUCGGCAAUGGACGAAAGUCUGACCGAGCAACGCCGCGUGAGUGAAGAAGGUUUUCGGAUCGUAAAACUCUGUUGGUAGAGAAGAACGUUGGUGAGAGUGGAAAGCUCAUCAAGUGACGGUAACUACCCAGAAAGGGACGGCUAACUACGUGCCAGCAGCCGCGGUAAUACGUAGGUCCCGAGCGUUGUCCGGACUUAUUGGGCGUAAAGCGAGCGCAGGUGGUUUAUUAAGUCUGGUGUAAAAGGCAGUGGCUCAACCAUUGUAUGCAUUGGAAACUGGUGGACUUGAGUGCAGGAGAGGAGAGUGGAAUUCCAUGUGUAGCGGUGAAAUGCGUAGAUAUAUGGAAGAACACCGGUGGCGAAAGCGGCUCUCUGGCCUGUAACUGACACUGAGGCUCGAAAGCGUGGGGAGCAAACAGGAUUAGAUACGCGUGUAGUC
This 465-nucleotide ribosomal RNA is filed under the name uncultured bacterium. Its description in RNAcentral is "bacterial SSU rRNA". It matches the Rfam family "Bacterial small subunit ribosomal RNA", at positions 338 to 795 of the family's 1533-position model. The record is from RNAcentral.